UACGGAGGGUGCAAGCGUUAAUCGGAUUUAUUGGGCGUAAAGGGGGUGUAGGCGGGAGCGUAAGUCAGAUGUGAAAUUCCGGAGCUCAACUUCGGAGCUGCAUUUGAAACUGCGUUUCUUGAGGGUAGGCGGAGAAAACAGAAUUCCACAAGUAGCGGUGAAAUGCGUAGAUAUGUGGAAGAAUACCGGUGGCGAAGGCGGUUUUCUAGCUUAUUCCUGACGCUGAGACCCGAAAGCUGGGGGAGCAAACAGG
Molecule: ribosomal RNA, 253 nt
Filed under: uncultured bacterium
Lineage: Bacteria
Description: partial 16S ribosomal RNA
Rfam family: Bacterial small subunit ribosomal RNA
Source: RNAcentral